AUGCCUUAAACUUAUGAGUAAGGAAAAUAGCCGUUUGGGAUGAAGCCUGAAUCCUCACUGCUAAUGUGAGAUGAAUUUUUGAGUGGGUGAAGGUUGCCCCUAAGGUGACCCUCCUACUUUGUGGGAUGCCUGGGAGUCGUGAUCUGCCCA
This 150-nucleotide small nuclear RNA is filed under the name Carlito syrichta (Philippine tarsier). RNAcentral describes it as "U12 minor spliceosomal RNA (ENSTSYG00000032692.1)". It matches the Rfam family "U12 minor spliceosomal RNA". From Rfam's summary of the family: Although the U12 sequence is very divergent from that of U2, the two are functionally analogous. The record is from Rfam by way of RNAcentral. Lineage: Eukaryota; Metazoa; Chordata; Mammalia; Primates; Tarsiidae.